GUGGUUGAAGCUCAUCGGGAUGAGCGCCGGGCCGUGACCCCGGAGGGAGCGAGUUCGAAUCUCGUCGAUCACC
RNAcentral lists this transfer RNA (73 nucleotides) under Candidatus Palauibacterales bacterium. RNAcentral's name for it is "tRNA-His". It matches the Rfam family "tRNA". From Rfam's summary of the family: Transfer RNA (tRNA) molecules are approximately 80 nucleotides in length. Their secondary structure includes four short double-helical elements and three loops (D, anti-codon, and T loops). The record is from RNAcentral. Lineage: Bacteria; Pseudomonadati; Gemmatimonadota; Gemmatimonadia; Candidatus Palauibacterales.